This 253-nucleotide ribosomal RNA is filed under the name uncultured bacterium. RNAcentral's name for it is "partial 16S ribosomal RNA". It matches the Rfam family "Bacterial small subunit ribosomal RNA", at positions 524 to 776 of the family's 1533-position model. The record is from RNAcentral.
UACGUAGGGUGCAAGCGUUGUCCGGAAUUAUUGGGCGUAAAGAGCUCGUAGGCGGUUUGUCACGUCGGAUGUGAAAACCCGAGGCUUAACCUCGGGCCUGCAUUCGAUACGGGCUGACUAGAGUUCGGUAGGGGAGACUGGAAUUCCUGGUGUAGCGGUGAAAUGCGCAGAUAUCAGGAGGAACACCGGUGGCGAAGGCGCCACUCUGGGCCGAAACUGACGCUGAGGAGCGAAAGCGUGGGUAGCAAACAGG